AGGGGUGCCGAAGGCGGACGGGAAUGGGGGUGUUGGAAGAGCAAGGAGCCGAGGGCUGCUCCAUGGAAGUGAAACUGGGAUGCAUCUGAAUGCCAUGGAAACAGCUCUGUCCCUAAACCUGCGUGGAGGGAGCUGCCUGCGUGCUGUGGGACACUGAGGUGCUGCCUAUCCCCGGAUCCCACCAGGAAUCUGCUGUGCUAGAGAGGAGAGAAACACAGAGCAGCA
This 225-nucleotide long non-coding RNA is filed under the name Melopsittacus undulatus (budgerigar). Its description in RNAcentral is "lncRNA (ENSMUNG00000021663.1)". The record is from RNAcentral. Lineage: Eukaryota; Metazoa; Chordata; Aves; Psittaciformes; Psittaculidae.